UAGUGUGGAGUUCAUUAGUGGGUGCAUAGCACUUUUCUUAGGGUAAAAUUAAAAAAUGAAAGGAGAUAAAUUAAAUAGCUAGUAAUUAAAGAGACAGAGAGAGAGAGAGAAAAAAAUAAAUCAUAUGUAUGUCCUCCAUACGAUCUUAACGAGUAGAAAAUAAUACAAUGGUCUAAAGACUAUGUAUAAAAUUGUAUAAAACGCUAUCUGUGUUACCCUAUAUAUAUAUAUAUAUAUACACACAUUUAGCCAGUGUCCCCCAUCAUAAUUUGUGAAAGCAUUAUAUUGAUCGAUUAAAAAUAUUCAAGUUUUAACGGUGCCCUUGUACUGUGAACUCAAUCUAAUGGUCGAACUUAUCAAUGACCUAUUUGUUCACAAAAAUGCAAUUAGGGUUUCCUUCAAGUUAUGUACAUGUUUCUUAAACCUAUGAUCUCCUGAUUCUUUUUUCACAAGCAACAAGAGUACAAUGAUAACUGAUAAAACCUUUUAUCAAAGAAAUGAACGGAUACGUGGGAGACAUGUAGAAGGAAUUGUUGAACAGGCAUGGAUGACUUUUCUUUUCCUUCUUUUUUCCCCCCGUCACACUAAGCCACCGGGCGAGGAUAACAAAGUAUUCUUACUUUUCCUCUUUGAAUGAAAAAACAUUUACCAUAUGAUAAUAAAGUCAAAUAAAGCACGAGAUGCUUUGCCAAAAAUGGUACAAAUGCAUGUCACUUAGAAAGCCCAAUCAUAUAUAUAUAUAUAUAUAUUCAUAUGCAG
This 759-nucleotide long non-coding RNA is filed under the name Citrus x clementina. RNAcentral describes it as "Citrus clementina (C. clementina) long non-coding RNA (CCLE_LNC004693)". The record is from RNAcentral. Lineage: Eukaryota; Viridiplantae; Streptophyta; Magnoliopsida; Sapindales; Rutaceae.